RNAcentral lists this unclassified non-coding RNA (2615 nucleotides) under Drosophila ananassae. RNAcentral's name for it is "GF10968". Lineage: Eukaryota; Metazoa; Arthropoda; Insecta; Diptera; Drosophilidae. The record is from RNAcentral.
UAUCGGUACAAGAUUGACCAUCUCUACUAGAUUUUACCAAAACAAAACCUCAUAUUAAUAAUAACAGAAAUUAAUAAGGGAGAUGAAUCGGUUUGCCUAUGUGGAGGCCCGCCUAAAUUCUGACGAAUCCUUUGUUAGCCGCGACAACAAGGUGAAAAUAUACGAUGGUGACCAAAAGACGGAGUUUGAGGAGGGCGAGGUCGUACUCACAACGCACCGACUUUUUUGGGGCCGUCCAGGAGAAAUAGCAAGAGCCGCUGUAGCUCUUUGCUUACCACUAAGCUAUGUGAUAUCCUUAAGCGAGGAAACCACUGCCUCAAACUUUUUUGGCCGCAAGACUCGCAUUAUUAUGCACCUCCGGCCACCGGCGCCAGACAAGGGACCAGGUCCACUAGACUACAGCCGGGCCACGCACAUAAAGCUAUCGGGAAAAAACGGCUUGAGCAUUGAAUUCCACAGUGCCCUCAAGGAGACGCUCAAUGCCCGCGUUUGGGAGAUCGCCCUGGUAAGCGACACCAUAAUAAACAAACCUGCUUCCAGCAGUUUGGGCUCCAGCUCGAGCAAUGAUAGGCUGGCUCGUAUUCAAAAGCGAACUGGAAUCGGAGGCAUUGAGCGGAAUUUAGAGGCAAAGGCCAAAGAAACGGAUGAAAACAUUGCAUUGGCCUUCCAGGAUCUUAGUGUUCUGAUGGCCAUGGCCAAGGACAUGGUAGGUUUGUCUAAAACCAUCAGCAGCAAAAUUCGAGAGCAGAAAGGUGAAAUAUCGGACGACGAGACGGUACAGUUCAAAUCUUAUCUUAUGAGCUUGGGAAUCGAUGGUCCUGUAACGAGAGAUAACUUUACCAGCAACACUGCAUAUUUUAACAGCUUGGGGCAACAGAUUUGCGAGAUGCUGCUGGAUCCCAUUGAGGAACACGGGGGUAUGAUGUCCUUGGCAGAUGUCUACUGCCGCGUAAAUCGUGCCAGGGGACUGGAACUGCUUUCACCUGAGGACCUUCUACACGCAUGCGAGCUCCUCAGUGGUCCAAUUCGCCUACGAAGCUUUCCCAGUGGUGCACGAGUCCUUCAGCUGGAAUCGCACGACGAUGACGUGGUCGCUCUGGACACUCUGGAAAAAGUUGAAUCAGCAGAAUCUAUGGCAGUCGAGGAGUUGGCGAAGCAGCUUGGCAUUUCUCUUCUGCUGGCAAAGGAGCGCCUAUUGGUAGCCGAACGCCUGGGAAAAGUGUGUCGAGACGAAUCCGUGGAGGGUCUUCGCUUCUAUCCUAAUCUACUUCUGAGGCAGGAGUGAUAAGUCGCCUAUAAGCUGUUUCUAGACAAAUUAAAUAAACAAAUGUGGUUUUUAUUUGGUAGUAUUUCUCCCCCGGACCAUCGUUUAAGGACGAAACUUUUUGAUCUUAUUCUUUUCACACUUUAUUGAUUAACGGAGCUUUUGCUGUGACUUUGUCGGCGCUUAAUUAUUAUUCUUUUCCUUAAAUGUUUUCUUUAAUGUUUCAAGAGUUCACUUGCAAUCAGUUUAAUGAAAGUUUCUACAGUCAGAUAUAAAUAGCUUACACUGCUGCUUAGAUUGCUCCGCAUUACGUUAAUAAUUUUCGAAUUAAGUUUUAAUAACCAUUUGAUCAGACCACACGUACAUAUUCGUCUUGCAUAUAGCUUCGUACCCCGAUCCUUCGCUUGGGUAAGGUAAUGCCACAACUAGUCCAACUUCCUGAAGCUUUCAUUCAUUCAUUCAUUCCGAUGUAGUACCAUGUUUCUAUUCGUUUAUUCUCCUUAAAUCACAAUUAUUUAAUAUUAACAUUGAGUAAAUUAUGCCUGAAUCAGCAGUGAACGGUAGGGAUACGGGUAUUGGUGAGGUUACUUUGCGUUUCUUUUUAUUUUUGCUUUACGAAGAACAAAUCCAUGCUAAACAGUUACAGCAAGAUGUAACAUAAUAAAACUCGUUUCUUAAAUAAUUUCAUUUAAAAAAACUGGCGUAGUAUAAAAACAAAUCGUUUAGUCAAAGCGUUAUUUUGUACACAUUUCUCAGCCCUUUCUGUCAACGCCUCCGCAACUUCGCCUGCUCUUGACUCUACUUUUAUUGUACAUUGCGCUAUUACAAAUAAAUUGAUUAAAUAGAUGCUGACUUUUGUAUUCUUUCUUUUGCUUUUCGUUUUAAUGUUUUUGCAAUUGGAAGUACUAAAUUGGUUGAGGCUACGAUUGUACAUUAAAAACUAAAAUGUUGCUUUCGUUUGUGAACUUAAGCUAAGCAAUCGAUUAAAUAUUUAGCAAUAAUAAUAUAAAUAGUACAAUAUGCAUAAUUUUAAUUACUAAAAUCAACCCUUAUAACGGUUCAAAUUUUCUAAACGUAAUCAUACUCCGAAUUAAUUUAAAUAUAAUUUGUUUUCAUCAUCUUAUUGCUUUGUUUUUGUUUUCCGUGACUCUCCUUCAGUACAGCUUAAAAUUAGCACACUUAUCGAACUAGUCUUAGGGAUUAACGAAUCGGAGUUGGGAGCCAAGUUGUUAGGUAUAAUUUUAUGUAGUUUGAAUGGCUAUGAUAUAUAUAAUUAUAUAUAUAUUUUUGUGUGUAUAUACAACUAAAUAAAUAUUUUAAGAGUUCUACACCUAGUUCGUUUUUGUCUAGA